UAGGGUUCGAUCAUGGCUCAGAACGUACGCUGGCGGCACGCCUAACACAUGCAAGUCGAACGAAGUAGCAAUACUUAGUGGCAGACGGGUGAGUAACAUGUAGGUAUCUGCUCUUUGGCCUGGAAUAACACGAGGAAACUUGUGCUAAUACCGGAUAAGUCUUUACGGAGAAAGCUUUAUGCACCAUUGGAUGAGCCUGCACUUGAUUAGUUUGUUGGUGGGGUAAUGACCUACCAAGACUUUGAUCAAUAGCUGAUUUGAGAGGAUGAUCAGCCACAUUGGGACUGAGACACGGCCCAAACUCCUACGGGAGGCAGCAGUGGGGAAUCUUGCACAAUGGAGGAAACUCUGAUGCAGCGAUGCCGCGUGAGUGAAGAAGGCCUUUGGGUUGUAAAGCUCUUUCGUCGGGGAAGAAAACGACUGUACCCGAAUAAGAAGGUCCGGCUAACUUCGUGCCAGCAGCAGCGGUAAUACGAAGGGACCUAGCGUAGUUCGGAAUUACUGGGCUUAAAGAGUUCGUAGGUGGUUGAAAAAGUUGGUGGUGAAAUCCCAGAGCUUAACUCUGGAACUGCCAUCAAAACUUUUCAGCUAGAGUAUGAUAGUGGAAAGCAGAAUCUCUAGUGUAGAGGUGAAAUUCGUAGAUAUUAGAAAGAAUACCAAUUGCGAAGGCAGCUUUCUGGAUCAUUACUGACACUGAGGAACGAAAGCAUGGGUAGCGAAGAGGAUUAGAUACCCUCGUAGUCCAUGCCGUAANCGAUGUGUGUUAGACGUUGGAAAUUUAUUUUCAGUGUCGCAGCGAAAGCGAUAAACACACCGCCUGGGGAGUACGACCGCAAGGUUAAAACUCAAAUGAAUUGACGGGGACCCGCACAAGUAGUGGAGCAUGUGGUUUAAUUCGAAGAUACGCGCAGAACCUUACCAACACUUGA
This 929-nucleotide ribosomal RNA is filed under the name uncultured bacterium. RNAcentral describes it as "bacterial SSU rRNA". It matches the Rfam family "Bacterial small subunit ribosomal RNA", at positions 1 to 984 of the family's 1533-position model. The record is from RNAcentral.